RNAcentral lists this ribosomal RNA (428 nucleotides) under Bacteroidota bacterium. RNAcentral's name for it is "Bacteroidetes bacterium partial 16S ribosomal RNA". It matches the Rfam family "Bacterial small subunit ribosomal RNA", at positions 355 to 776 of the family's 1533-position model. Lineage: Bacteria; Pseudomonadati; Bacteroidota. The record is from RNAcentral.
UAGGGAAUCUUCCGCAAUGGACGCAAGUCUGACGGAGCAACGCCGCGUGAGUGAAGAAGGAUUUCGGUUCGUAAAACUCUGUUGUUAGAGAAGAACAGCGCAUAGAGUAACUGUUAUGCGUGUGACGGUAUCUAACCAGAAAGCUCCGGCUAAAUACGUGCCAGCAGCCGCGGUAAUACGUAUGGAGCGAGCGUUGUCCGGAAUUAUUGGGCGUAAAGGGUACGCAGGCGGUUUAAUAAGUCGAAUGUUAAAGAUCGGGGCUCAACCCCGUAAAGCAUUGGAAACUGAUAAACUUGAGUAGUGGAGAGGAAAGUGGAAUUCCUAGUGUAGUGGUGAAAUACGUAGAUAUUAGGAGGAAUACCAGUAGCGAAGGCGACUUUCUGGACACAAACUGACGCUGAGGUACGAAAGCGUGGGGAGCAAACAGG